Molecule: ribosomal RNA, 253 nt
Filed under: uncultured bacterium
Lineage: Bacteria
Description: partial 16S ribosomal RNA
Rfam family: Bacterial small subunit ribosomal RNA
Source: RNAcentral
UACAGAGGAGCCAAGCGUUGUCCGGAUUGACUGGGCGUAAAGCGCACGCAGGCGGCCGCGCGCGUGGGGUGUGAAAUCUGGCCGCUUAACGGCCAGGCGCCAUCCCAUACGGCGCGACUGGAGUGAUGCAGAGGUCGAUGGAAUUGCCGGUGUAGUGGCGAAAUGCGUAGAGAUCGGCAGGAACACCCAGGGGGAAACCAGUCGACUGGGCAUCUACUGACGCUGAGGUGCGAGAGCGUGGGGAGCGAACCGG